CCAAUCUGUUGCCUCGGCGGGAUUCUCUGCCCCGGGCGCGUCGCAGCCCCGGAUCCCAUGGCGCCCGCCGGAGGACCAACUCAAACUCUUUUUUCUCUCCGUCGCGGCCUACGUCGCGGCUCUGUUUUAUUUUUGCUCUGAGCCUUUCUCGGCGACCCUAGCGGGCGUCUCGAAAAUGAAUCAAAACUUUCAACAACGGAUCUCUUGGUUCUGGCAUCGAUGAAGAACGCAGCGAAAUGCGAUAAGUAAUGUGAAUUGCAGAAUUCAGUGAAUCAUCGAAUCUUUGAACGCACAUUGCGCCCGCCAGUAUUCUGGCGGGCAUGCCUGUCCGAGCGUCAUUUCAACCCUCGAACCCCUCCGGGGGGUCGGCGUUGGGGAUCGGCCCCUCACCGGGCCGCCCCCGAAAUACAGUGGCGGUCUCGCCGCAGCCUCUCCUGCGCAGUAGUUUGCACACUCGCACCGGGAGCGCGGCGCGGCCACAGCCGUAAAACACCCCAAACUCUGAAAUGUUGACCUCGGAUCAGGUAGGAAUACCCGCUGAACUUAAGCAUAUCAAUAAGCCGGAGGAA
RNAcentral lists this ribosomal RNA (569 nucleotides) under Trichoderma harzianum. Its description in RNAcentral is "eukaryotic LSU rRNA". The stretch from base 185 to 338 matches the Rfam family "5.8S ribosomal RNA". RNAcentral also lists the same sequence under 1 other name. Lineage: Eukaryota; Fungi; Ascomycota; Sordariomycetes; Hypocreales; Hypocreaceae. The record is from RNAcentral.